UCCUCCCAAAGAGUAACGGAGGAGCACGAAGGUGGGCUAAUCACGGUUGGACAUCGUGAGGUUAGUGCAAUGGCAUAAGCCCGCUUAACUGCGAGAAUGACGGUUCGAGCAGGUGCGAAAGCAGGUCAUAGUGAUCCGGUGGUUCUGAAUGGAAGGGCCAUCGCUCAACGGAUAAAAGGUACUCCGGGGAUAACAGGCUGAUACCGCCCAAGAGUUCAUAUCGACGGCGGUGUUUGGCACCUCGAUGUCGGCUCAUCACAUCCUGGGGCUGAAGUCGGUCCCAAGGGUAUGGCUGUUCGCCAUUUAAAGUGGUACGCGAGCUGGGUUUAGAACGUCGUGAGACAGUUCGGUCCCUAUCUGCCGUGGGCGUUGGAAGAUUGAAGGGGGCUGCUCCUAGUACGAGAGGACCGGAGUGGACGAACCUCUGGUGUUCGGGUUGUGUCGCCAGACGCAUUGCCCGGUAGCUAAGUUCGGAAUCGAUAACCGCUGAAAGCAUCUAAGCGGGAAGCGAGCCCUGAGAUGAGUCUU
This 528-nucleotide ribosomal RNA is filed under the name Vibrio vulnificus. Its description in RNAcentral is "partial 23S ribosomal RNA". It matches the Rfam family "Bacterial large subunit ribosomal RNA", at positions 2285 to 2812 of the family's 2925-position model. Lineage: Bacteria; Pseudomonadati; Pseudomonadota; Gammaproteobacteria; Vibrionales; Vibrionaceae. The record is from RNAcentral.